UUAUUAUUAGGUCACAGAAGAGCCCGCUUUUCUAUUACUCUGAUGAUGGCAAAAAUUUGUCCUAGGGUCCCUUCCUCUCAACCGUGCGCAUGGCAUGCUUUUGUGCAUCAUUCGACGAGGGUGUGGAAUACAGAAACGUUGCUGUGUUGCACGCAGUUGCCAAACAGUGAGUUUCCUGUUUGUAAAUGAAACGCAUGGCAAUCUCGAUUACUCCAUCCAAAUGUGCACUGCUUUCAAGAAGGCGUAUAGCCAACUGAGGAAGCAAGCAAGCUGGUCAUUGUAUGUAAUAGGACAGGAUAAUGGAGGUAUUGGUGAAGAUCUGGUGUACCUGAGAUAGGUAGGCGGUAUAAAGGUGGUUAGAAAGCAGGUGGAAUUGCCAUACGGCUGUGUGCCCGAAUCAAGUAGCAGGCGGUUUUAUUAGUUCAAGUGCAAUAGUAGUAACGACGGUGUGAGGGACACAGCGCAGCUUAGUCAUGGGAAGGCAUAUAUGGUCAAAGUAAAUCAAUGGUGGAUAGAUAAAUUUAGUGUCGAU
This 532-nucleotide small RNA is filed under the name Cryptococcus neoformans H99. Its description in RNAcentral is "Cryptococcus neoformans var. grubii H99 hypothetical RNA". The record is from RNAcentral. Lineage: Eukaryota; Fungi; Basidiomycota; Tremellomycetes; Tremellales; Cryptococcaceae.